GAGGUUGUAGCUCAGUAGUAGAGCACAUGCCUUGUAUGCAUGAGACAUUGGGUUUGAUCUUU
RNAcentral lists this transfer RNA (62 nucleotides) under Ictidomys tridecemlineatus (thirteen-lined ground squirrel). Its description in RNAcentral is "Spermophilus tridecemlineatus (thirteen-lined ground squirrel) tRNA". It matches the Rfam family "tRNA". From Rfam's summary of the family: Transfer RNA (tRNA) molecules are approximately 80 nucleotides in length. Their secondary structure includes four short double-helical elements and three loops (D, anti-codon, and T loops). Lineage: Eukaryota; Metazoa; Chordata; Mammalia; Rodentia; Sciuridae. The record is from Rfam by way of RNAcentral.